This is an unclassified non-coding RNA of Mustela putorius furo (domestic ferret), 103 nucleotides long. Its record names the gene 7SK. It matches the Rfam family "7SK RNA". From Rfam's summary of the family: 7SK was discovered as an abundant small nuclear RNA in the mid-70s but a possible function has only recently been suggested. Two independent studies have found that 7SK RNA binds the CDK9/cyclin T complex (known as elongation factor P-TEFb). P-TEFb activates transcription by phosphorylating the C-terminal domain of RNA polymerase II. Lineage: Eukaryota; Metazoa; Chordata; Mammalia; Carnivora; Mustelidae. The record is from Ensembl.
AUGUAAGAGUUUUCUGACUGUAACAUCUGUCACCCCACUGAUUGCCAGGGUUGAUAUGGCUGACCUGUCUGGCUAGGCAAAUGCUCCCUUCUCUUUCACCAUU